Molecule: ribosomal RNA, 771 nt
Filed under: uncultured Prevotella sp.
Lineage: Bacteria; Pseudomonadati; Bacteroidota; Bacteroidia; Bacteroidales; Prevotellaceae
Description: bacterial SSU rRNA
Rfam family: Bacterial small subunit ribosomal RNA
Source: RNAcentral
GACGAACGCUGGCGGCGCGCCUAACACAUGCAAGUCGAGCGAUGAAAGUUGUUCAGAUCCUUCGGGUGACGAACUUCCGGAUUAGCGGCGAACGGGUGAGUAACGCGUGAGGAACCUGCCUCUCACAACGGGAUAGCCUCGGGAAACCGGGAUUAAUACCGUAUGACACUAUCAGAUGGCAUCAUCAGGUAGUUAAAGUGCUAGCGGUGAGAGAUGGCCUCGCGUCUGAUUAGCUAGUUGGUGAGGUAACGGCCCACCAAGGCGACGAUGGGUAUCCGGCCUGAGAGGGUGAACGGACACAUUGGGACUGAGAUACGGCCCAAACUCCUACGGGAGGCAGCAGCUAAGAAUAUUCCGCAAUGGACGGAAGUCUGACGGAGCGACGCCGCGUGGAUGAAGAAGGCUGAAAAGUUGUAAAAUCCUUUUGUUGAUGAAGAAUAAGGGUGAGAGGGAAUGCUCAUCUGAUGACGGUAAUCGGCGAAUAAGCCCCGGCUAAUUACGUGCCAGCAGCCGCGGUAACACGUAAGGGGCGAGCGUUGUUCGGAAUUAUUGGGCGUAAAGGGUACGUAGGCGGUUUUUUAAGUCAGGUGUGAAAGCGUGAGGCUUAACCUCAUUAAGCACUUGAAACUGGAAGACUUGAGUGAAGGAGAGGAAAGUGGAAUUCCUAGUGUAGCGGUGAAAUGCGUAGAUAUUAGGAGGAAUACCGGUGGCGAAGGCGACUUUCUGGACUUUUACUGACGCUCAGGUACGAAAGCGUGGGGAGCAAACAGG